This 230-nucleotide unclassified non-coding RNA is filed under the name Hevea brasiliensis (rubber tree). Lineage: Eukaryota; Viridiplantae; Streptophyta; Magnoliopsida; Malpighiales; Euphorbiaceae. The record is from RNAcentral.
AAACUCUUUGAUGGUCAAGCCUGUAUCUAAGUUGGUCUGAGCUUGCUGACUUCAGUGGUUGAUACAUAUAAAAUUGCCACAACUCCAUUGUUGCUUGACAAUGGACUGUAUUCCCAUAAAAAAUGUCUCUUGGGUUUUCCAUUAUUGUCACUAUACAUAACCAUUAAGUGACCUAAAGAGAUCUAGGUUAGAAAACCGUCAUUGCCACAAGAAGAAGCUGUUAAAGGGUG